UAUUUGAUUCCUUACUCUUCAUGUUGCUAUUUUCUUGUUGAUAUUUCUUGAUUCAAAGUCCAAAAUAAAAAUGGGUUUUCUAUAUGACAUUCUUGUCUGUUGGAUUGCAUCCCAUUGGUCAGAUCUUUUCAACUCUUAACUUUUAAUUUUAUGUUUAGGAUUAGUCUCUUCAUCUCCCCCCAUUUCUUAAAUUUCGAAUCUCUAUCCCUUUUCAAAAUCUUCUUUGCUUGUGA
Molecule: long non-coding RNA, 233 nt
Filed under: Lathyrus oleraceus (garden pea)
Lineage: Eukaryota; Viridiplantae; Streptophyta; Magnoliopsida; Fabales; Fabaceae
Description: Pisum sativum (pea) long non-coding RNA (PSAT_LNC013933)
Source: RNAcentral